AAAAAAAAGAAAGAAAAAGAGGGGGGAAGGGAAUGGUUUGUUCGCGCGCUUUUGUUUAUACUCGUGGCUUAAGUUCGGGGGUUUUCGUUUAUGUUUUUUUUUUCCCUUUCUUUUUGCCUUUUUUGU
Molecule: non-coding RNA, 126 nt
Filed under: Micromonas pusilla
Lineage: Eukaryota; Viridiplantae; Chlorophyta; Mamiellophyceae; Mamiellales; Mamiellaceae
Source: RNAcentral